UACGGAGGGUGCGAGCGUUGUCCGGAAUCAUUGGGCGUAAAGGGUGCGUAGGUGGCAUGGUAAGUCGGAUGUGAAAUCCCGGGGCUCAACCCCGGAACUGCAUUCGAUACUGCCAGGCUAGAGUACUGGAGAGGAGAUUGGAAUUUACGGUGUAGCAGUGAAAUGCGUAGAUAUCGUAAGGAAGACCGGUGGCGAAGGCGGAUCUCUGGACCGGUUCUGACGCUCAGGCGCGAAAGCGUGGGGAGCGAACAGG
This 253-nucleotide ribosomal RNA is filed under the name uncultured bacterium. Its description in RNAcentral is "partial 16S ribosomal RNA". It matches the Rfam family "Bacterial small subunit ribosomal RNA", at positions 524 to 776 of the family's 1533-position model. The record is from RNAcentral.